GAUGAACGCUGGCGGCGUGCCUAAUACAUGCAAGUCGAGCGAACAGACGAGGAGCUUGCUCCUCUGACGUUAGCGGCGGACGGGUGAGUAACACGUGGAUAACCUACCUAUAAGACUGGGAUAACUUCGGGAAACCGGAGCUAAUACCGGAUAAUAUAUUGAACCGCAAGGUUCAAUAGUGAAAGACGGUUUUGCUGUCACUAAUAGAUGGAUCCGCGCCGCAUUAGCUAGUUGGUAAGGUAACGGCUUACCAAGGCAACGAUGCGUAGCCGCCCUGAGAGGGUGACCGGCCACACUGGACCUGAGCCACGGUCCAGACUCCUACGGGAGGCAGCAGUAGGGAAUCUUCCGCAAUGGGCGAAAUCCUGACGGAGCACCGCCGCGUGAGUGAUGAAGUUCUUCGGAUCGUAAAACUCUGUUAUUAGGGAAGAACAAAUGUGUAAGUAACUAUGCACGUCUUGACGGUACCUAAUCAGAAAGCCACGGCUAACUACGUG
RNAcentral lists this ribosomal RNA (497 nucleotides) under uncultured bacterium. Its description in RNAcentral is "partial 16S ribosomal RNA". It matches the Rfam family "Bacterial small subunit ribosomal RNA", at positions 28 to 507 of the family's 1533-position model. The record is from RNAcentral.